Molecule: ribosomal RNA, 250 nt
Filed under: uncultured prokaryote
Description: partial 16S ribosomal RNA
Rfam family: Bacterial small subunit ribosomal RNA
Source: RNAcentral
UACGUAGGUGACGAGCGUUAUCCGGAAUUAUUGGGUGUAAAGGGUGCGUAGGCGGGCUGUAAAGUCAGAUGUGAAAUUCCGGGGCUUAACCCCGGAACUGCAUUUGAAACUUACGGUCUUGAGUGGAGUAGAGGUAAGCGGAAUUCCCAGUGUAGCGGUGAAAUGCGUAGAUAUUGGGAGGAACACCAGUGGCGAAGGCGGCUUACUGGGCUUUUACUGACGCUGAGGCACGAAAGUGUGGGGAGCAAAC